AGCCUAUGAAUCAUAGAAUCAUAGAAUCAUAGAGUUGGAAGAGACCACAAGGGCCAUCCAGUCCAACCCCUUGCCAAGCUUUUGGGUGAAGGGGAAUAUAGAAAUAACAACAGCAGCAAUGGUGACGGAAUAGCUCACUACUAAAUUCGGUCCAGCUUAUCACAUACUUCCUGCCGGUUGUUUCUCAAACCGACUUCACACCAACUGAAGUCCUUCA
Zootoca vivipara (common lizard) is the source of this 217-nucleotide non-coding RNA. NCBI's taxonomy places the organism in Eukaryota, Metazoa, Chordata, Lepidosauria, Squamata, Lacertidae. The record is from RefSeq and is a predicted model, not a curated record.